Long non-coding RNA from Vombatus ursinus (common wombat), 668 nucleotides. RefSeq lists it as uncharacterized. The transcript is spliced from 3 exons. Lineage: Eukaryota; Metazoa; Chordata; Mammalia; Diprotodontia; Vombatidae. The record is from RefSeq and is a predicted model, not a curated record.
CGGGCGGAGGGGGCUGGGACCACGCGCUGUCGGCGGAGGGAUCCCCCGACCCUUCCCCCCAUAUAAAGAGAUACAAUGUUUCCUUUUAUGGCGAGGCCGCUCCUUAUAUGGUGAGCCCCAGCGCCCCCGCCCUAUUGGUCGGCGGUUCCGGCACCUCCGUCUCCCAUUGGCCCGCCUUAGGGGGGGGCCGUUCAUUUGCAUUGGCAUACCAGGCCAGCUGCUGUCAUUCUAGCGUCAGGCCGAGGCGCGGAGUCCGGAGGGUCCGGCGUCUCUUAAAGAGACAGGAGUUUGGAGCGAGUACGGUCUCCGCCCCCUCCGCACGAAAGAGCCCUGCAUUUGAGAUUCAGAAAACCUUAAGUCACAGCCUCUGAACACCAGCUUCCUGAUGUGUAAUAUGAGGAUAAUGAAGCAAAACCUAACAGGAUUCUUUAAAGCUUGUAUAAAUGUUACAGUGAGGUUUUCCAACAGACAUCAGCAGACCCAAGCAUGGGGUACAGGAUCACAGAACUGAAGCUAGAAGGGACCUCAGAGGCCAUCUGAUUUCCAUCUGUCCCUUUCCCAUUUUACAGAUGAAGAAAUGAGACCCAGAGGUGUUAAAUGAAUUUGCCCAAGGUGGUCACAAAAGGUAUAUCAUGGUAAAUUUGAACUCAGGUUCUCUGAUACCUGCA